This 1393-nucleotide long non-coding RNA is filed under the name Homo sapiens (human). RNAcentral's name for it is "non-protein coding lnc-EXO1-1:2". Lineage: Eukaryota; Metazoa; Chordata; Mammalia; Primates; Hominidae. The record is from RNAcentral.
GAGCAAUUCAGAUUUCAUGUGUAGAAGAAAAGUUCAACAUAAACAUAUUGGACAAUAUUAAUGUAAAAUAUGGUCAGCCUUCCACAUUCUUAUUAUUCAGAAUAAAACUUUUAUCUAUAGCGAAUAUUCCUGAAGAACGUUUGGAAUUCUUCAGAAUCCAAACGUUGAAUGUCCCAUUCAAGCUGUCAGGUUCCAAAUCCUAUGUUUCCUGAAGAGACAUGGCUGGGAUCCGGCUGGGAAAAUUCCGAAGGUGCCAACCUUCAGGUCACGGUACCUGACUGGUGCUGCAUUCUCCUUCCAGCCUUGAAGAUUCUGAAAGUGGAGGUUUCUUAAGCAGAUACAGAGCUAAUGGCCAGGUUUCUUGGGAGUACAUUACAAUAAAUGCAAGAGGUGCAGAAAGCAAGAAAUUGCUCUGGAUCUUAGAAAAAUGGGCUUGGAGCUCCAUUAGUGUCUGCUACCUUCUGCAACCCAGAUUCCAAAUUGUUUUCCAGACUUGUGUUAGAGUUAUUGGUGUCAGAACAUCUUUUUUCAUCCCCAGGGAUAAGACACAAACACCUGCAAAGCUGACUCAUGAAAGGAGACAAGGCACUACUAUGACAGUGGAUUGUGGGAGCUGUGAGGUGUGAGGAGCACACGUGUGACCUUCUGGAGCGUCUGGGCACUCCUCUCUGCUACAGAACUACAAAUGCUGUUUGGAGACCAGGAGCAGCCUGUUGUUGCAUUUAUUUUAGGGAUAUCCACGGAAUCUGAAAGUGCUUCUCUCCUUCCGUCCUCUCAACCUUCCAUCACUGCACUGCUGUGGCUAAAAGGAGACCAAAAGACUGACACCAGGUGGCAAAGGGAAUCUAAGAGAUGCAGCAGGCAGUGCCCCAGCCCUCUCAGUAAUUAGCAGUGCACAGAAGGGAGCAGAGGAAAAAAGCAGGUAAAUGACCAGUACCUUCCCAUUUGCUCCAGCUUGUGUGUUUUAUUGUCACAAAGUAUUUAAAUAUUUUUUAAGUUCCACCAGACAUUAAUUUUACUGCCUGAUGAAAUCAGAAUUCAUAUAGAGCUAUCCAUAAGUGUACUAUUUUCUUUAUUAUUUUUUUUUGAGAUUUGCUGGGAAUGAACUCGUUUUUUUCUUUGUCUGAAAAUGUCUUUAUUUACCUUCAUUCUUACAGAUCUUUUUAUUCAGUAUAGAAUUUUAGCUUUGCAAUUACUUUCUUUCAGUGUAUUAACGGGUCUUUCUGUAUUCUAUUUGCGUAGCCAUGGCUGCUUUGUUUUGUUUUGUUUUGUUUUGCUUUGCUUUUUGAGCUCUGUUACCCAGGAUGGAGUACAGUGGUGAGAUCUUGGCUCACUGCGGCCUCCGCCUCCCUGGUUCAAGUGGUUCUCCUGCCUCAGCCUCCAAAGUAGCUGG